This 253-nucleotide ribosomal RNA is filed under the name uncultured bacterium. RNAcentral's name for it is "partial 16S ribosomal RNA". It matches the Rfam family "Bacterial small subunit ribosomal RNA", at positions 524 to 776 of the family's 1533-position model. The record is from RNAcentral.
UACGAAGGGGGCUAGCGUUGCUCGGAAUCACUGGGCGUAAAGGGUGCGUAGGCGGGUCUUUAAGUCAGGGGUGAAAUCCUGGAGCUCAACUCCAGAACUGCCUUUGAUACUGGAGAGCUCGAGUCCGGAAGAGGUGAGUGGAACUGCGAGUGUAGAGGUGAAAUUCGUAGAUAUUCGCAAGAACACCAGUGGCGAAGGCGGCUCACUGGCCCGAUACUGACGCUGAGGCACGAAAGCGUGGGGAGCAAACAGG